GCCCCCAGGUGACUUUUGCAGACUCCUUCAUGUACCUCUCACAAGGUAAAGUCAACUUCAGAAGGUCAAAGAUAUUUCAGGAAAGGCAAAGAGUAUGACCUCUUGUACAGUUUGCCCUCAUAAAGGAUAUAUCGGGAGGCCUGGUUUCUAAGCUUUCAAGCUUCUUUUGCAUCAUGAGAAAGAACCCCGUCUUUGAGGUAUGCAACCAGUGGGUCAAUCCAGGUGAAUUUAUGGUUGAUCUCCAUUACAAGCUG
Molecule: long non-coding RNA, 254 nt
Filed under: Elaeis guineensis (African oil palm)
Lineage: Eukaryota; Viridiplantae; Streptophyta; Magnoliopsida; Arecales; Arecaceae
Description: long non-coding RNA (EGUI_LNC079808)
Source: RNAcentral